Molecule: ribosomal RNA, 2561 nt
Filed under: Escherichia coli
Lineage: Bacteria; Pseudomonadati; Pseudomonadota; Gammaproteobacteria; Enterobacterales; Enterobacteriaceae
Description: partial 23S ribosomal RNA
Rfam family: Bacterial large subunit ribosomal RNA
Source: RNAcentral
AUUGUGAGCUCGAUGAGUAGGGCGGGACACGUGGUAUCCUGUCUGAAUAUGGGGGGACCAUCCUCCAAGGCUAAAUACUCCUGACUGACCGAUAGUGAACCAGUACCGUGAGGGAAAGGCGAAAAGAACCCCGGCGAGGGGAGUGAAAAAGAACCUGAAACCGUGUACGUACAAGCAGUGGGAGCCUCUUAAUGGGGUGACUGCGUACCUUUUGUAUAAUGGGUCAGCGACUUAUAUUCUGUAGCAAGGUUAACCGAAUAGGGGAGCCGAAGGGAAACCGAGUCUUAACUGGGCGUUAAGUUGCAGGGUAUAGACCCGAAACCCGGUGAUCUAGCCAUGGGCAGGUUGAAGGUUGGGUAACACUAACUGGAGGACCGAACCGACUAAUGUUGAAAAAUUAGCGGAUGACUUGUGGCUGGGGGUGAAAGGCCAAUCAAACCGGGAGAUAGCUGGUUCUCCCCGAAAGCUAUUUAGGUAGCGCCUCGUGAAUUCAUCUCCGGGGGUAGAGCACUGUUUCGGCAAGGGGGUCAUCCCGACUUACCAACCCGAUGCAAACUGCGAAUACCGGAGAAUGUUAUCACGGGAGACACACGGCGGGUGCUAACGUCCGUCGUGAAGAGGGAAACAACCCAGACCGCCAGCUAAGGUCCCAAAGUCAUGGUUAAGUGGGAAACGAUGUGGGAAGGCCCAGACAGCCAGGAUGUUGGCUUAGAAGCAGCCAUCAUUUAAAGAAAGCGUAAUAGCUCACUGGUCGAGUCGGCCUGCGCGGAAGAUGUAACGGGGCUAAACCAUGCACCGAAGCUGCGGCAGCGACACUAUGUGUUGUUGGGUAGGGGAGCGUUCUGUAAGCCUGUGAAGGUGGCCUGUGAGGGUUGCUGGAGGUAUCAGAAGUGCGAAUGCUGACAUAAGUAACGAUAAAGCGGGUGAAAAGCCCGCUCGCCGGAAGACCAAGGGUUCCUGUCCAACGUUAAUCGGGGCAGGGUGAGUCGACCCCUAAGGCGAGGCCGAAAGGCGUAGUCGAUGGGAAACAGGUUAAUAUUCCUGUACUUGGUGUUACUGCGAAGGGGGGACGGAGAAGGCUAUGUUGGCCGGGCGACGGUUGUCCCGGUUUAAGCGUGUAGGCUGGUUUUCCAGGCAAAUCCGGAAAACCAAGGCUGAGGCGUGAUGACGAGGCACUACGGUGCUGAAGUGACAAAUGCCCUGCUUCCAGGAAAAGCCUCUAAGCAUCAGGUAACAUCAAAUCGUACCCCAAACCGACACAGGUGGUCAGGUAGAGAAUACCAAGGCGCUUGAGAGAACUCGGGUGAAGGAACUAGGCAAAAUGGUGCCGUAACUUCGGGAGAAGGCACGCUGAUAUGUAGGUGAAGCGACUUGCUCGUGGAGCUGAAAUCAGUCGAAGAUACCAGCUGGCUGCAACUGUUUAUUAAAAACACAGCACUGUGCAAACACGAAAGUGGACGUAUACGGUGUGACGCCUGCCCGGUGCCGGAAGGUUAAUUGAUGGGGUUAGCGGUAACGCGAAGCUCUUGAUCGAAGCCCCGGUAAACGGCGGCCGUAACUAUAACGGUCCUAAGGUAGCGAAAUUCCUUGUCGGGUAAGUUCCGACCUGCACGAAUGGCGUAAUGAUGGCCAGGCUGUCUCCACCCGAGACUCAGUGAAAUUGAACUCGCUGUGAAGAUGCAGUGUACCCGCGGCAAGACGGAAAGACCCCGUGAACCUUUACUAUAGCUUGACACUGAACAUUGAGCCUUGAUGUGUAGGAUAGGUGGGAGGCUUUGAAGUGUGGACGCCAGUCUGCAUGGAGCCGACCUUGAAAUACCACCCUUUAAUGUUUGAUGUUCUAACGUUGGCCCGUAAUCCGGGUUGCGGACAGUGUCUGGUGGGUAGUUUGACUGGGGCGGUCUCCUCCUAAAGAGUAACGGAGGAGCACGAAGGUUGGCUAAUCCUGGUCGGACAUCAGGAGGUUAGUGCAAUGGCAUAAGCCAGCUUGACUGCGAGCGUGACGGCGCGAGCAGGUGCGAAAGCAGGUCAUAGUGAUCCGGUGGUUCUGAAUGGAAGGGCCAUCGCUCAACGGAUAAAAGGUACUCCGGGGAUAACAGGCUGAUACCGCCCAAGAGUUCAUAUCGACGGCGGUGUUUGGCACCUCGAUGUCGGCUCAUCACAUCCUGGGGCUGAAGUAGGUCCCAAGGGUAUGGCUGUUCGCCAUUUAAAGUGGUACGCGAGCUGGGUUUAGAACGUCGUGAGACAGUUCGGUCCCUAUCUGCCGUGGGCGCUGGAGAACUGAGGGGGGCUGCUCCUAGUACGAGAGGACCGGAGUGGACGCAUCACUGGUGUUCGGGUUGUCAUGCCAAUGGCACUGCCCGGUAGCUAAAUGCGGAAGAGAUAAGUGCUGAAAGCAUCUAAGCACGAAACUUGCCCCGAGAUGAGUUCUCCCUGAGACUUAGAGUCUCCUGAAGGAACGUUGAAGACGACGACGUUGAUAGGCCGGGUGUGUAAGCGCAGCGAUGCGUUGAGCUAACCGGUACUAAUGAACCGUGAGGCUUAACCUUACAACGCCGAAG